AGCUCAGUUCAGAGCAUUUUGAGAGGAGUGAUCAGAAAUAAUAAGUGGGAAAACAAACAAAAUGCAACAGACCUGAGGAGUUCACGUGCAUGUCUUUGGAACGAACAAAUACCUUUUCAAGAAACUAAGGGCAAGAUGUUCUUCCUUGAGCUUCCAAGAGCUUCUUUGCUUUCCCGUUCUGAUUCACAAGGAGGAGAUGAUCUCGACAGAAAAAAUAUGGUCUUUGGUAGAGUAUAUGGGACAGCUGGGAAUCCUGCAUCUAAGAAAUGCUGCAAUCAGGAUCCAGCUUUUAUAGGCUCUCGGAAAAGGAGAGAUGCUCUGGUAUCCACCUUGGGCUGAGACUGAGAUUCCCAAAUUCUAACAUGUGUUGAAGCAAAGCUGUGUGUAGAUAAUUCCUGAGUAGCCAAGCAGAUUGUCCUGGCUGAUACUGAAAGCUGUUGGUACAGCAACUUCUACUACUGCUCCCUACAGUGACUGCAGUGGGUAGUGAGCAAGAUGGAUUUGGGAACCACCAAGCUGGAUGUGUUUAUUCAACUGCUGACUGAGGUAAUGUGUUCUUACUUUAGUUGAAGAAGAACAAGAGAACACUAAUGAGCAUGGAGAAUAUACAGAAGUUAAUGAAAGCAACAUAAAUAGGUGGUGGAAAAAGAUAAGCCCUGUUAGCUGGGUGAAAAGGGAACUAGAGACCAUGGCCUGAGCAUACAAAAUGUAUUUGGUGUUUUUUUUCCCCUGUUUUCCUGACAAAUACAGCAAGAACUAAAUGCUGAGGAGAAAAAGCACCAUAGAAACAAAUAGCUAGGGACAUCUUUGCUUAAUAUGAACUUCCAGUGGAAACUGAAAAGUGGAGCAGCUAGCAUUAACCAUUUUUUAACACAGCUAUUCAAAUCUUGUUGAAUUACACAACUUGUAUUGAAAUAAAUAGGAACUGCUGGUCCUGAGUUUUAUUACAAAUUAGGCCACUUGAGAAAUAGUUGCAUAACUGGUCUGAAAUAAGUAAUUGCUGUAAGUCUGUAAGUUUAGAUGUUGCUGAAGUUUAAGCGGGUGGCUUAGUCUUCAGUACUUUUUUGCUUUAUUAUUAUUCAAGUAUGCAUCAAAUUUCUGUAAUCACUUUCUCAAGGAGCCUUAGAAUUGUCUACUGACACAAGUGAUCUGAAACAAUACAUUUGAGUAAGUGGGAAGCACACCAUUAGCACAUCCCUUGGUCCGUAGCUUACAAAACAGUAGUUCAAACUUUAGGACAUCUAGUACCAAAACAAAAACAUCGUGAUCUAGCGGCUGAAUCAGUAUAAACUCAAGCUGCCAAUACAACAUUGUUCAAAUGGGUUGGUCAUUAAUUUGUGGGACAGGUAACUUCAAGCUGUCCGGCUUUCUGUGGUUCUGCUGUUGUGUGCCUGACUCGACCUUUCCUAGUUUGCCCAGAUUUCUUUUUAAUAGCUCAUUUUUGUCAUUCCCACUUUCUAUGCUCAGAUAUAUUGUUUAAGUUUUCAGAUUCCCUAUCCUCAUUCCUUUUUUCAUUGGAUACUCACAGAACAUUCACUCAACAGAUUUUAUCUUUGUCACAGAUCCUGACCUAUCCAAAUGCUCAGAAACUUGUGACCACCUCCUUUUUGUUGUUGUUUUUAAUCGUCUUUUUUUUCCUUUGGCCUCUGUAUGAGCUACAUGGCUGCAGUUGCCACAUCUUUAUGACGUGCUCUGUCUCUGUGGCUCUAAACAGAGGCUGUACCAUCUGCCUCCUUCUGGUCUGGCCUGAUACUUUCCUCUCUUUGGAACUGCCCAACUCAAUUUUGAAGAAGGAAAUGCAAAUGACUUGGACAUCAAUUCUGGUCAAAAACUGGUGGUAAACUAAAGCCAUGUGUGAAAAGUUGGCAUUUCUCUUUUCCCCAACUAAUUGUUAAUCAUGUGACAAAUUGGAGAUGGUGUAUCAGAGGGGAUAGGAUUUUAGCUCAGGAGAGUGAAGCUCUGUCUCUAGACAUUUCCCAUAACAGUGAGAUUUUCUGUCAGCUACAGCAGCCAUCACUUCUCUCUCCACAAAUUCAGUAUGCCCACGCAUGCCUUCUAUAGUAGCAACUCUGUCACCUUCUUGUCAUCCUAAGAAUGAGCAGACUUGACUCUAUCAGCAAGCAGCCUUGAUAGCCUAUCUGGAUACACUGUGCAUUUUUUCUGGCUGGAAGGCUAGCAAAUCACUUUUUAUGGGAACUUUGGAGUGGCAAGGAUAGUCUUUUGGGGCAUAUUUUCUUGCCCAAAGAGUAUUGGGUGAACUGCUAGGAACAAAAACUAUAUGCCUUAGCCAAAAGAAGAAAUUGCUCUUCAGAGGAUUGGAUACAUGGGGACAGGAAGAAAGAGAGAGAGAUGUGUUUAUCACAGAGAAAAGCUACCCAAUUGAGGAAAGUCUAGCAUGCUUCACUGUUUACCAUGAGCUCAGGGGACCAGAGAUCUUCUGAAGUGUGUAUCAUCUCCAGAAUUUCACUGGAUGCUUGCGUUCUCCAAACAAUCUCCAAUCUAACAAGCAAUGCUAUCAUGCAGUUGGUGAUACCCAGCCUCCAAAUAAUUGCAGAAGUCUGCUUCUCAGCUAAGUAACACUACUCAUGUCUGUUUCUACACUUCGUAUGUUCAGAAGAGAUCUCUGUCCUCUGUUCUGUUUCUUUCUAUUGUCAUUGCCCCCCAAGAAUAGCUUAAGACCAAAUUAAUGGUAAGGAGGCUAAAUGGACUUUGAUACUAAUGCAUUUCUAGUCACAGAUAAAUAUUAAAUGUUAAGAAGUCACAUGAGCUUGCUAUCCUGCAGCAGGGAAGAUGAUGUGGCCCAGAAGAAAGUCAGGUGGGUCAGUGCAGUCAUCCAAGCUGUGUGGUGGGGAAAUCCAGGCGUGAUGCCCUGGGAUCCCUACUUCUAACACUGAAGCACUUCUGCUACCUCACGUGGGCCUUCUGCUAGGUCCAAAAAUGCCAGACCUCAUCAGCAGUGCUCACAGCCUUCCCCUCCAGGAAGUUUUCCACACCAUGACAAAGGUGCAUUAGUUAAAAGGUCAGUUAUAGGGAAGUAACCAGAAGGUAAAUAAGUGUUUAAACAGUCCAAACUCUGUGCAGAUUUGGCCCCGAAGUGGCACAUUGGUCUUGGAAGAUGAAGAUGAAAAUGGCAACCUCAACUAAGUUUAUAUUGUUAGAUGAUCAAGCAACAGGUAGAUCUUUCUUAACUGUCACAGAACUAUGACCUGAAAUUCAGUUAGAGCCAAGUAUGAGUAUGUUGAUUACUAUCAUAGGGCACUGCCACAAUCCUACUCCAACAGUUGAUCACUUAUUUAGCAAAUGUUAAUGAAUCACAAUGAUAUUUUAAAAUGCUGUGGAAUAUGGAAAUUUUAUUGCAAAUGUUAAUAUUUGAAAUUAUAAUAUUUACUAUUAUAACUAUAUACAAAGC
Long non-coding RNA from Gallus gallus (chicken), 3409 nucleotides. The record is from Ensembl. Lineage: Eukaryota; Metazoa; Chordata; Aves; Galliformes; Phasianidae.